This 404-nucleotide ribosomal RNA is filed under the name Actinomycetes bacterium. RNAcentral's name for it is "Actinobacteria bacterium partial 16S ribosomal RNA". It matches the Rfam family "Bacterial small subunit ribosomal RNA", at positions 355 to 776 of the family's 1533-position model. Lineage: Bacteria; Bacillati; Actinomycetota; Actinomycetes. The record is from RNAcentral.
UGGGGAAUAUUGGACAAUGGGCGCAAGCCUGAUCCAGCCAUGCCGCGUGAGUGAUGAAGGCCCUAGGGUUGUAAAGCUCUUUCACCGGUGAAGAUAAUGACGGUAACCGGAGAAGAAGCCCCGGCUAACUCCGUGCCAGCAGCCGCGGUAAUACGAAGGGGGCUAGCGUUGUUCGGAUUUACUGGGCGUAAAGCGCACGUAGGCGGACUAUUAAGUCAGGGGUGAAAUCCCGGGGCUCAACCCCGGAACUGCCUUUGAUACUGGUAGUCUUGAGUUCGAGAGAGGUGAGUGGAAUUCCGAGUGUAGGGGUGAAAUUCGUAGAUAUUCGGGGGAACACCAGUGGCGAAGGCGGCUCACUGGCUCGAUACUGACGCUGAGGUGCGAAAGCGUGGGGAGCAAACAGG